AGGUACACUCAGCUCCCUGCCUGCCUGUUCCGAGACUGGCAUGUCCUGUCCAGUUCAGCUACGGGCCCUCCAUAGGACGAGAACGUGGAGUCUCUGGGGGGAGGGAGGAAGCUCACCACUAGCAUGCAGCCAGUAAGGGCUAUGAGGACGGGGCCCUGGACAACUCCUCGGAGCCACCCCUUGCGACACAGACCGUAAGACUGUGCUUGGAGCAAGGAUCAGAACACAAAGUAUGGAUGCCAUAAUUUGGAUACCAGUUACACAGGGACUAAUUGCUUUACAGAAAGAGAGAGCAACAGAGCACAAGCAGGGGAGUAGCAGAG
Long non-coding RNA from Neogale vison (American mink), 323 nucleotides. RefSeq lists it as uncharacterized. The record is from RefSeq and is a predicted model, not a curated record. The transcript is spliced from 3 exons. Lineage: Eukaryota; Metazoa; Chordata; Mammalia; Carnivora; Mustelidae.